Molecule: ribosomal RNA, 317 nt
Filed under: uncultured eukaryote
Lineage: Eukaryota
Description: partial 18S ribosomal RNA
Rfam family: Eukaryotic small subunit ribosomal RNA
Source: RNAcentral
CCCUUAGAUGCUCUGGGCCGCACGCGCGCUACACUGGUCGAUGCAACGAGUUUCUUUCCUUGGCCGACAGGCCUGGGCAAUCUUUGAACAUCGAUCGUGAUCGGGAUAGAUUCUUGUAAUUUUUGAUCUUAAACGAGGAAUUCCUAGUAAACGCAAGUCAUCAGCUUGCAUUGAUUACGUCCCUGCCCUUUGUACACACCGCCCGUCGCACCUACCGAUUGAAUGGUCCGGUGAAACCUCCGGAUUGGCGCGUGCCCUCGGGCGCCGCCGAGAAGUUGGUUAAACCUUACCAUUUAGAGGAAGGUGAAGUCGUAACA